RNAcentral lists this ribosomal RNA (380 nucleotides) under uncultured bacterium. RNAcentral describes it as "bacterial SSU rRNA". It matches the Rfam family "Bacterial small subunit ribosomal RNA", at positions 30 to 412 of the family's 1533-position model. The record is from RNAcentral.
AUUGAACGCUGGCGGCAUGCUUUACACAUGCAAGUCGAACGGACUUAGGUGCUUGCACCUAGGUUAGUGGCGAACGGGUGAGUAAUGCAUCGGAACGUACCGUGUAAUGGGGGAUAACGCAGCGAAAGUUGUGCUAAUACCGCAUACGAUCUAAGGAUGAAAGCAGGGGAUCUUCGGACCUUGUGCUCCUGGAGCGGCCGAUAUCUGAUUAGCUAGUUGGUGAGGUAAAGGCUCACCAAGGCAUCGAUCAGUAGCUGGUCUGAGAGGACGACCAGCCACACUGGAACUGAGACACGGUCCAGACUCCUACGGGAGGCAGCAGUGGGGAAUUUUGGACAAUGGGGGCAACCCUGAUCCAGCAAUGCCGCGUGAGUGAAGAA